AACCCUGGAAUUAAAAAAAAUGGAAGUUUUUCUCUUAUCACAAGUCUUGUGAUAUAAAUGAUACAUGAACAGC
RNAcentral lists this transfer RNA (73 nucleotides) under Antigonon leptopus (chain-of-love). RNAcentral describes it as "tRNA-Leu". Lineage: Eukaryota; Viridiplantae; Streptophyta; Magnoliopsida; Caryophyllales; Polygonaceae. The record is from RNAcentral.